RNAcentral lists this ribosomal RNA (225 nucleotides) under Escherichia coli. Its description in RNAcentral is "partial 23S ribosomal RNA". It matches the Rfam family "Bacterial large subunit ribosomal RNA", at positions 1524 to 1746 of the family's 2925-position model. Lineage: Bacteria; Pseudomonadati; Pseudomonadota; Gammaproteobacteria; Enterobacterales; Enterobacteriaceae. The record is from RNAcentral.
GCUGGUUUUCCAGGCAAAUCCGGAAAAUCAAGGCUGAGGCGUGAUGACGAGGCACUACGGUGCUGAAGCAACAAAUGCCCUGCUUCCAGGAAAAGCCUCUAAGCAUCAGGUAACAUCAAAUCGUACCCCAAACCGACACAGGUGGUCAGGUAGAGAAUACCAAGGCGCUUGAGAGAACUCGGGUGAAGGAACUAGGCAAAAUGGUGCCGUAACUUCGGGAGAAGG